GAGUUUGAUUCUGGCUCAGGAUGAACGCUGGCGGCGUGCGUAACACAUGCAAGUUGGACGACGGUGCUAUGAAGUGGUAACACGGAAUGGUAUACGGAGUAGCGGACGGGUGAGUAAAGCAUGAGGAGCUGUCCUGUUGAGGGGGAUAACGUUCGGAAACGGACCCUAAUACCCCAUAGGCCGAGAGGUUAAAGGCAGAGAUGCGCGACAGGAGGUACUCGUGUCCUAUCAGCUGGUUGGUGAGGUAACGGCUCACCAAGGCGACGACGGGUAGCCGGCCUGAGAGGGUGACCGGCCACACUGGAACUGAGACACGGUCCAGACUCCUACGGGAGGUAGCAGUGGGGAAUAUUGGGCAAUGGGAGGAAUCCUGACCCAGCGACGCCGCGUGAACGAAGACGGCCUUCGGGUUGUAAAGUUCUUUUAUGUGGGAAGAAGGAAGUGAC
Molecule: ribosomal RNA, 446 nt
Filed under: Synergistales bacterium canine oral taxon 244
Lineage: Bacteria; Thermotogati; Synergistota; Synergistia; Synergistales
Description: bacterial SSU rRNA
Rfam family: Bacterial small subunit ribosomal RNA
Source: RNAcentral